RNAcentral lists this long non-coding RNA (2624 nucleotides) under Marmota monax (woodchuck). Lineage: Eukaryota; Metazoa; Chordata; Mammalia; Rodentia; Sciuridae. The record is from RNAcentral.
GCCGCCAUUAGAAGAUGGCGCCGGUCUCCGUUGUGGAUCUUGGUAAACAACUCCUUAUUAGGGACGCUGUCCCUCAACACCCUAUGAGAAAACCCCGCCUGGAAGCUUUGGAUUGGACUUGAGUAAGCUUUAUUAGGCUAUGCUUGGACGCUCGGCGGGGGGUCACUAGAAGAUGAUACAUGAAACAAGGCCUGAAUAAACUGCUGAAAGAAGAAUCCUGUGUCGUGUUUUCCCUUGCCGGCGAGGGGUCGCGACAAUUGGUGGCCCGGACGGGGAAUUAUAUUCCUCGAACCCAGGAUCCAGAACUUUCAGCAGUCAGGGUGGUGCACCGGUAAGUUCCCAGGUAAAGUGGGAAUCUGCAAGCAAAUAGCGGGGCACUCUCUCUGUAAAUAGAGAGCGGGAAAAAGGACGCUCCCCUGUAAAAGGAAGAGAGCGGGAAAUUCAUAGAACAGAACGCUCCCCUGUAAAAGGAAGAGAGCGGGGAUUUUUGUACUUUCACUUUCUUUAUAGUUCUAAAAACAUUAUGGGCGUUGCCUCUUCAAGCCCAAUUUUGUUGGCCCUAGAUGGGUUGCUACGUUCAAAAGGACUUAAGGUAAAGCAGAGCACUUUGCAGAUGUUUUUGAGAGAAGCUGCCGGGGCCACAGCCGCGGUCUGGGCAUGAGGAUGGCGGUGGGCUCAGUCAAGAUGCAGCCGCCAUGCGAGAACCCUGCCCUAACAGCGGCGGUGGCGGCGGCGGACAGCGCUCUGCGCCGCAGUCCCAGCGCCCGCGAGCCGGAGCGCGAGCAGCCGCCGGCGUCGCUGCAGCCGCGGCUGAAGGACCUGCCUGCACUGCUGCGGAGCGGGCUCACGCUGCGGAGAAAGCGGAGCGCCGCCGGGGGCCGUGACCGGACGGAGCCGGUGUGGGUUCCAGAACGCCUGACAAGAAGAGUCCCGACAAAUACAUCUGAGUUUAAUAUAACCACUUUGGCCAUUACUUCCCAGGUGUUAAUUCCGUUGUCUCCUUCUAAUGAGACCUCUAAUGCCACUCAUUUUAAGGCUUCUCCUUAUUGCACCCCUGAGUAUGGCUUCCCUCCUAUAUUUACACCUUGUCAAGAUCACUCUUGGGAGAAACAUCAGGUCGCUAAAGGUUUCUCCCUUUCCCCCUCUCUUAAAAGAUAUUUGUAUAAUGUUUCCAAUAAUAAUUCCUCCAUAGGAGCAGGUUGGUCUUGGUUUCAAUGGUUGAUUUCCAAUGAAAAGGGAGCCACAGCUGAUAUUUCCACUUUGGCUCAAUUACGAGGAGUCCAAAGUUGGCUGUUUAAUGUUUCUGGUAGUACCCAAGACUCGGAGCGAGGUAGGAGGCUUAAAAUUACUGCAAAUAAUUCACAAUUAUCUAAUGCUACAUUACCCUCCACAGCAGUCUGUCUCCAAUCUCCGUUCCUGUUUCUUUUGGCUAAUGUUACAUCACAGGGGAUGCUUAAUUGUUCUAAUAUUACCUGUUAUUUGAGUGUUGGAAUGGCUCCUGGACUAUGGCAGUGAUUAUGAAAAUUCCAACCUUUGUCCCGAUCCCGGUUACUGCAGAUCCAGAGUCUUUUCCUAUUGUUGAACUGAUUAGAGCCCGUAGAGAUUUUGGAAUUACGGCAGCUAUAGUGACAGCUGUGGCGGUAUCUGCUGCUGCAGCAGUUACAGCUGGAGUAGCCAUGGCCAGCCAGGUACAAACUGCUGCCACUAUUAAUCAGGUUAUUCAACAAACAUCCACCAUACUUGAAUCUCAAAGUAGAAUUAAUCAACACAUUUUAUCUGGGAUUCUGGCUGCUAAUCAAAGGAUAGAUCUGCUUCAAGCUCAAGUUGAGGAAUUGUCUGACCUAGUACAUUUGGGUUGUGUUGAUCAACGUGCACAUUUAUGUAUAACCUCUGUCAGAUUUUAUGAUUCCAGAAAUGCCUCCCGCAUCAUCGGAGAGUAUCUAUCCGGAACCUGGUCCAUGGAAGCAGAAAACUUGAUCCAGUCUCAACUAACUCAGAUUGCUGUUUUGAAUAGUACCCGUGUCGAACCAGUGACUUUGGGUCAAUUCACCAGUUGGCUAUCCUCNCUCAGCUAUCCCCCUUCGUCCACCAUCGUCACGAUACAGGAUGCGAGGCAAGGCACUGCACUUGAGUGAUCCGAUCUCCGGACCUCAAGGGAAGCAUGUCCUAUUGCUUACGGGUUUGGCGUCCACGCCCCGUCCCACGAAAAAAGGCGUCGGCUGAUAUGGUGUCAGAUCUAGGGAAGGCGCCUCCUUGGGACUGAGCCAUACAUUGCAGCCAUGUUUGCACAGUGGGAUAGGACCUCUACUUUCGCCUGCAUUGUUUUUUAAGAGAUAAGGGGGAACUGUGGUGAGCCGUGUUUGUAGACGGUUGCCGCCAUUAGAAGAUGGCGUCGGUCUCCGUUGUGGAUCUUGGUAAACAACUCCUUAUUAGGGAAAGUUGGCACGCUGUCCCUCAACACCCUAUGAGAAAACCCCGCGUGGCAGCUUUGGAUUGGACUUGAGUAAGCUUUAUUAGGCUAUGCUUGGGCGCUCGGCGGGGGGUCACUAGAAGAUGAUACAUGAAACAAGGCCUGAAUAAACUGCUGAAAGAAGAAUCCUGUGUCGUGUUUUCCCUUGCCGGCG